Molecule: long non-coding RNA, 954 nt
Organism: Homo sapiens (human)
Lineage: Eukaryota; Metazoa; Chordata; Mammalia; Primates; Hominidae
Gene: ITPRIP-AS1
Product: ITPRIP antisense RNA 1
Source: Ensembl
GGUCACUGGGUGGCCUCUAGGAUUCCUGAGUCUGCAGUGCAUGGCUGAAUGUGAGCAGCACCUAGGCUGAGUCUGCCCCUCCCUCUGGUCUCCUUCCAACCCCUCAAGGGACUGAUGGAAAACUGAGUGGGUCCUGCCUCUUCCCCUGCCUGGGGGUACCUCUGCAGCAUCAUUGUCAGUGGUGACCACCAAAAUUAUCCAGUUCCAGCAUGGUCAAGAAGCUGAAUGUUCUCCUGCAGCCCCCAGGGUACCACGCACGGGGCUGGGCACACUGCAGGCUCCCAACAUAUGGAGAAGGCAGGGAAGCCAUCCUCUCCCAGGAAGGACAGAGUGUCCCUCCGUCCAGCCACUCUGCCUGCCUCCUCCAGCAGGACAUCAUAGAAAUCACAGCAUCUUGGGACAGACAGACAAACGCCUGAUCUCUAUGGCUGGGUUGUGGAGAGGACAGUGAGAAGAGACUACAAGGAGUAAAACAGUAGCAGAGACAAGGAGGGGGCUCCCCUGCAACCCCUGAGCUCUGGCCCACACCUCCUUUUCUCCCACGCGUUCCCUCCAGGGCAUCUCAGAUCCAUUCAACUGUGUGGGUUGAAUGGCAGCCCUCAAAAUAUACGUCCUCGCGCUAAUCCCCAGCCCCUAUGAAUGGGACCUAAAAGGGUCUUUGCAGAUGUGAUUAAAUUAAAGAACUUGAGAUGAGAUCAUCCUGGAUUACCCGGGUGGGCCUUAAAUCCAAUGACAAGUAUCCUUAUGAAGUGACACAAAAGAGAGAGACAGAGGAGAGGUGAGGGGAGACGGAGGCCAGGAUGGGAGUGACGCUGCCACAGCUGAGCAUCAUCUGAGACAACAGGAGCUGGAAGAGGCAAAGAGGGACUCUCCUCUAGAGUAUCUGGAGGGAGUGUGGCCCUGAUACCUUGAUCCUGGUCUCCAGAACUGUGAAAAUAAAUGCCCACUGUCUUA